GAUGAACGCUGGCGGCGUGCCUAAUACAUGCAAGUCGAGCGAACGGACGAGACGCUUGCUUCUCUGAUGUUAGCGGCGGACGGGUGAGUAACACGUGGAUAACCUACCUAUAAGACUGGGAUAACUUCGGGAAACCGGCGCUAAUACCGGAUAAUAUUUUGAACCGUAUGGUUCAAAAGUGAAAGACGGUCUUUCUGUCACUUAUAGAUGGAUCCGCGCUGCAUUAGCUAGUUGGUAAGGUAACGGCUUAUCAAGGCAACGAUGCAUAGCCGACCUGAGAGGGGGGUCGGCCACACGAGAGCGGAGACGCGGUCCAGACUCCUACGAGACGCAGCAGUAGCGAAUCGUCCGCAGUAGGCGAAAGCCUGACGGAACAGCGCCACGUGAGUGAUAGAAGUCUUCGGAGCGUAAAACUCUGUUAUUAGGGAAAAACAUAUGUGUAAGUAACUGAGCACAUCUUGACGGUACCUAGUAAGAAAGCCACGGCUAACUACGUG
This 497-nucleotide ribosomal RNA is filed under the name uncultured bacterium. RNAcentral describes it as "partial 16S ribosomal RNA". It matches the Rfam family "Bacterial small subunit ribosomal RNA", at positions 28 to 507 of the family's 1533-position model. The record is from RNAcentral.